Molecule: ribosomal RNA, 465 nt
Filed under: Vibrio sp. HB161653
Lineage: Bacteria; Pseudomonadati; Pseudomonadota; Gammaproteobacteria; Vibrionales; Vibrionaceae
Description: partial 23S ribosomal RNA
Rfam family: Bacterial large subunit ribosomal RNA
Source: RNAcentral
CUCCGGGGAUAACAGGCUGAUACCGCCCAAGAGUUCAUAUCGACGGCGGUGUUUGGCACCUCGAUGUCGGCUCAUCACAUCCUGGGGCUGAAGUCGGUCCCAAGGGUAUGGCUGUUCGCCAUUUAAAGUGGUACGCGAGCUGGGUUUAGAACGUCGUGAGACAGUUCGGUCCCUAUCUGCCGUGGGCGUUGGAGAAUUGAAAGGGGCUGCUCCUAGUACGAGAGGACCGGAGUGGACGAACCUCUGGUGUUCGGGUUGUGUCGCCAGACGCAUUGCCCGGUAGCUAAGUUCGGAAUCGAUAACCGCUGAAAGCAUCUAAGCGGGAAGCGAGCCUUGAGAUGAGUUCUCCCUGGCGCUUUAAGCGUCCUAAAGGGUUGUUCGAGACUAGAACGUUGAUAGGCAGGGUGUGUAAGCGUUGUGAGGUGUUGAGCUAACCUGUACUAAUUGCCCGUGAGACUUAACCAU